This 478-nucleotide ribosomal RNA is filed under the name uncultured bacterium. RNAcentral's name for it is "partial 16S ribosomal RNA". It matches the Rfam family "Bacterial small subunit ribosomal RNA", at positions 28 to 523 of the family's 1533-position model. The record is from RNAcentral.
GACGAACGCUGGCGGCAUGCCUAACACAUGCAAGUCGAUCGAGCUGAUUUCUUCGGAAUGAAGCUAGCGGCGGACGUGUGAGUAACACGUGGGCAACCUGCCUCAUAGAGGGGAAUAGCCUUCCGAAAGGAAGAUUAAUACCGCAUAAGAUUGUAGUACCGCAUGGUAUAGCAAUUACAGGGGUAAUCCGCUCUGAGAUGGGCCCGCGGCGCAUUAGCUUGUUGGUGAGGUAACGGCUCACCAAGGCGACGAUGCGUAGCCGACCUGAGAGGGUGAUCGGCCACAUUGGGACUGAGAAACGGCCCAGACUCCGACGGGAGGAAGCAGGGGGGAAUAUUGCACAAUGGGGGAAACCCUGAUGCAGCAAUGCCGCGGGAGUGAUGACGGCCUUCGGGUUGUAAAGCUCUGUCUUCGGGGACGAUAAUGACGGUACCCGAGGAGGAAGCCACGGCUAACUACGUGCCAGCAGCCGCAGUAA